CGAGCGUUGUCCGGAAUUACUGGGCGUAAAGAGCUCGUAGGUGGUUUGUCGCGUUGUCCGUGAAAACUCACAGCUCAACUGUGGGCGUGCGGGCGAUACGGGCAGACUGGAGUACUGCAGGGGAGACUGGAAUUCCUGGUGUAGCGGUGGAAUGCGCAGAUAUCAGGAGGAACACCGGUGGCGAAGGCGGGUCUCUGGGCAGUAACUGACGCUGAGGAGCGAAAGCGUGGGGAGCGAACAGGAUUAGAUACCCUGGUAGUCCACGCCGUAAACGGUGGGUACUAGGUGUGGGUUUCCUUCCUUGGGAUCCGUGCCGUAGCUAACGCAUUAAGUACCCCGCCUGGGGAGUACGGCCGCAAGGCUAAAACUCAAAGAAAUUGACGGG
Molecule: ribosomal RNA, 385 nt
Filed under: uncultured bacterium
Lineage: Bacteria
Description: bacterial SSU rRNA
Rfam family: Bacterial small subunit ribosomal RNA
Source: RNAcentral